Molecule: unclassified non-coding RNA, 239 nt
Filed under: Sordariales sp.
Lineage: Eukaryota; Fungi; Ascomycota; Sordariomycetes; Sordariales
Description: partial contains 5.8S ribosomal RNA, internal transcribed spacer 2, and large subunit ribosomal RNA
Source: RNAcentral
CGCACAUUGCGCCCAUUAGUAUUCUAGUGGGCAUGCCUGUUCGAGCGUCAUUUCAACCCUCAGGCCUCCGGGACUGGUGUUGGGGCUUUGCACUGCAAACCCUGAAAAACAGUGGCGGGCUUGCUGAAACCCGAGCGUAGUACUACUUCCGCUAUGGGCUCAGGCAAUGCACCGGCCGUAAAAGCUCUUAAUACUGUAAAGUUGACCUCGGAUCAGGUAGGAAUACCCGCUGAACUUAA